UUUUUAUGAAUUAUAAUCAGACUGGUCUUUGCCUGCCCUUCCACCUUGCUCACAUUGUUAUUCCCCCACAACAUCAAAGAUUUGUAUACAUUCUCAUCCAGAAUUGAUUUUACCCUUUGGUGGCAUCACCCAGAAUUUCCUUUGGGAAACAUCAAACCCAUCAAGUCCAUAGCUUUGGAUGUGGCUGACUCCACAGCCAGCUCUGAAGUGGACAUGUUUCUAAUCAGAAAACCACAAUCCUUGGUCAUAGCAAUUGAUUCAAUGCAGAACACAUGACUCAGGCUGUCCAGUGACACCCAACCCAGAUCUUUUGUUGCAACCUUUAAAAAAGAGUAGUACUUGGCAAAGCCAGCAAAUAGCAAGGGAUUCCUGAGGAUAUAGUUUGAGCUUCUAGAUCUACCUGUGCCUGAUCUCUUCGGUAAUAACAAUCAAUCUUUUUUCCCUUCUGCUUAAACCAACUUGAAUUGGUCUACAAAGAGUAUCCCCAUCUCUUUACCCCUUCAAGUUAAAUUCAUCCUUUGAGAUCUAGCCCUCAUGCCACUUUUGAAUUAUUCUUCCCUUUCCUUAAUUCCCAUUAUACCUUACUUCAUCUAUAUUGCAUUAAAACUAGAUCGUCUCAAUUGUUCAGCAUUUUCUAGUUUUACUUCCCUACUGUACCAAAAGCCUCUUAAAACCUUGGACCACGAACUCCAUUUCUCUUGUGUCCACAACACUUAAGAAUCUUUCACACACACACACACACACACACACACACACACACACAAGGAAUCUUUCACACGUAAGAGACAGAUGGACUGCUAAAUUCUUGGUUGAGUUACCUUUCUUUGGGAAGUCAACUGUCAGGAGCUCAAGAGUAAGUGAAAAAUGAGGAAAUUGUUGCUAAUCACAGACCUACUCUGUGGAUAAUUCUGUUCCCAUUUUUCUGGUUAAAAACAAAUAUAGGAAGAGAGAAGGGGAACCAAUAUCAGUGACCAGGGCAUAAAGUCACAUUUUGCAUCAACUUCUGAAGCUAUCUGUUCAGGCCUCCAGAGGGGCCCAAUAACAACUACCUGUUCUAGAAUGUGGGAUUUAUUUUUAUCCAGAGAUGAUGAAACCAAUAAAUCAGGAGAUGACUCCCACUGAAAAGAUAGUUUAUUUUAGUCCCCAAGAAGAGGGUGCACACCACACCAUGCAGGACCGCAUGGGGAACCACAGGGUGGUUCUACAGAUAGAAGAGGCAUGGGGAAAAUCUGUAUCAUGGUCUCCUCAGGAAAAGCAAGGCAAGGAAAGCAAGGCAGAGUGAGCACGUUCAGGACUGGGCUCAGUUUGAAUGAUUUCAGUGGUCUCUGGGGUGCAGGGGCUGUUCCACAGUCUGUGGUUCCUGGCCCUGGAUUUGUUAGGGCAAGGGAAUAUUGGCUUAGUACAUACGAGUUUGAAAUAAAGGAGAUGGUGGAGAGAUGUGGGUUCUGGAUUUGUCAGUUUGCAUAUGAUGGUUCUAGGGAGUUAUUUGCUAUCUCUGGGAAUUAGCCCUGGAGAGGCAUUUUAGCCCCAGUCAAUGAGAUCCUGGAUGGCAGAGUAUCACGAAUUUGGAAAAUAAGAACAUUUGGGUAAUAUGCUCCUUUCUUUCCCACCUGGGUUCAAAAUGAACAAUAAGACAGAGGAGAGGCAGAUGAUGGACAAAGUAUCCCCUCUAUUACUGAGAAAGCCUCCAUUUGAGAACGUGUCUUAACAUGAGAGUUAAACAGGCCUUUCAACUCCAUCCAGAAUUAGUCAGACUUACUCAUGCGGUCAUAGGUAGCAUUGGAUCAGGAUAAACUUUCCCAAGUGGGAAGGAUUUCACAGCAUGAGCAACAGACAAUAAAUUGUGCUUACUGCAAGCAAAUUUACCUCCAGGAGGGGAAAGAAAAAAAAAAAAAAAAAAAAAAAAAG
This 1908-nucleotide long non-coding RNA is filed under the name Canis lupus familiaris (dog). Its description in RNAcentral is "lncRNA (ENSCAFG00000055909.1)". The record is from RNAcentral. Lineage: Eukaryota; Metazoa; Chordata; Mammalia; Carnivora; Canidae.